GGAUCAGUAAGUUGGUCGUGCCACGGGUAUGUACUGGUCUUACUGAUUCCUCCUUCCUGAUGAAUCAUAAUGCCAUUAAUUUGGUGUUGUGGGGAAACUGGACUGUUACUUUGAAAAAAUUAGAGUGUUUAAAGCAGGCUAACGCUUGAAUACAUUAGCAUGGAAUAAUGAAAUAGGACGUUCGAUCCUAUUUUGUUGGUUUCUAGGAUUGACGUA
Molecule: ribosomal RNA, 216 nt
Filed under: uncultured fungus
Lineage: Eukaryota; Fungi
Description: partial small subunit ribosomal RNA
Rfam family: Eukaryotic small subunit ribosomal RNA (bases 40-216)
Source: RNAcentral